CCUACGGGUGGCAGCAGUGAGGAAUAUUGGUCAAUGGGCGGAAGCCUGAACCAGCCAAGUCGCGUGCAGGAUGACGGCCCUACGGUUUGUAAACUUCUUUUAUACGGGAAUAACGCGCCUUACGUGUAGGGUUUUGCGUGUACCGUAUGAAUAAGCACCGGCUAAUUCCGUGCCAGCAGCCGCGGUAAUACGGAAGGUCCGGGCGUUAUCCGGAUUUAUUGGGUUUAAAGGGUGCGUAGGCCGGAUGUCAAGCGUGCUGGGAAAUGUCGGGGCUCAACCCGGUCCGUGCAGCGAGAACUGGCGUGCUUGAGUGAGCGGGAAGCAGGCGGAAUGCGUCGUGUAGCGGUGAAAUGCUUAGAUAUGACGCAGAACCCCGAUUGCGAAGGCAGCUUGCUGGAGCGGAACUGACGCUGAUGCACGAAAGCGUGGGUAUCGAACAGGAUUAGAUACCCGGGUAGUC
This 460-nucleotide ribosomal RNA is filed under the name uncultured bacterium. Its description in RNAcentral is "partial 16S ribosomal RNA". It matches the Rfam family "Bacterial small subunit ribosomal RNA", at positions 338 to 795 of the family's 1533-position model. The record is from RNAcentral.